ACUGUGUAAGUGGCUUGAAAGUUUAGUUUAAUUCCAUUCUCAGCAGUUGACACAGCAUGGGCUUUUUAAAGGUGGUUUGACAUCAAACUGGGGGAGAUUGAGAAAGCAAAAGAAUGGGGGACCAAAGCACAGAGAAACAGGAUAUAAUGGAGAAAGGUAACCUGUCUGGAAGAAUCAGGGUGGCCAAACCGCCAUCAGUUCCAGAAACAUAAUCACAGCUGCCUCUUACUGUUCAGAAUAUCUGACGCCUGACCAGCCUUACCAGCGAAGGCUACAGGGGACCAGCAUGGAAUGGAAGAGAUUGGAAGAACAUUAAGGUUGCAUCUCCUCCCCCCAAACCCAUCACUAUUCACCACCCAGCUCCCAAGAUGCACUGCUGCACCCUCUCAAGAAUGUGAUAAGUCUCAUCUCCAAAACCCAAGACUGUCUUUUUCUCCCUCGUCUAAAUCGGGUCUGAACUCAAUAGUCUGAUCAUCUCUUUAAUAAAUGCCUGUGCUGAUGUCCUUCUUUCUUUUUCUUUCUUUCUUUCUUUCUUUCUUUCU
This is a long non-coding RNA of Cyprinus carpio carpio, 542 nucleotides long. Lineage: Eukaryota; Metazoa; Chordata; Actinopteri; Cypriniformes; Cyprinidae. The record is from Ensembl.